RNAcentral lists this ribosomal RNA (252 nucleotides) under uncultured bacterium. RNAcentral describes it as "partial 16S ribosomal RNA". It matches the Rfam family "Bacterial small subunit ribosomal RNA", at positions 524 to 776 of the family's 1533-position model. The record is from RNAcentral.
UACGGAGGAUGCGAGCGUUAUCCGGAUUUAUUGGGUUUAAAGGGUGCGUAGGCGGACUGUCAAGUCAGCGGUAAAAUUGAGAGGCUCAACCUCUUCCCGCCGUUGAAACUGGUGGUCUUGAGUGGAUGAGAAGUACGCGGAAUGCGUGGUGUAGCGGUGAAAUGCAUAGAUAUCACGCAGAACUCCGAUUGCGAAGGCAGCGUACCGGCAUCCAACUGACGCAGAGGCACGAAAGCGUGGGGAUCAAACAGG